AACGCGAAGAACCUUACCUGGGCUCGAAGCGCAGUGGACUGGGGUAGAAAUAUCCCUUUCCCGCAAGGGACUGCUGCGGAGGUGCUGCAUGGCUGUCGUCAGCUCGUGUCGUGAGAUGUUGGGUUAAGUCCCGCAACGAGCGCAACCCUUAUCCCUAGUUGCUACCGGGUCAAGCCGAGCACUCUAGUGAAACUGCCUCGGAUAACGAGGAGGAAGGUGGGGAUGACGUCAAGUCCUCAUGGCCUUUAUGUCCAGGGCUACACACGUGUUACAAUGCACGGUACAGACUGUUGCGAACCCGCGAGGGGGAGCUAAUCGGAUAAAACCGUGCUCAGUUCGGAUUGCAGUCUGCAACUCGGCUGCAUGAAGCUGGAAUCGCUAGUAAUGGCGUAUCAGAUCGACGCCGUGAAUACGUUCCCGGGCUUGUACACACCGCGUGUCU
Molecule: ribosomal RNA, 442 nt
Filed under: uncultured bacterium
Lineage: Bacteria
Description: bacterial SSU rRNA
Rfam family: Bacterial small subunit ribosomal RNA
Source: RNAcentral